RNAcentral lists this long non-coding RNA (333 nucleotides) under Androctonus crassicauda. The record is from RNAcentral. Lineage: Eukaryota; Metazoa; Arthropoda; Arachnida; Scorpiones; Buthidae.
GAAUCUGGGGUCUAAAUUAAAAAAUAUGGUAUGCAAUUUGUAUUUAACAUGAAUGGAGCUGCAGUUUGUAGACAUAAAUGUGCAGUUAAGACUGAUUUGGGGACUUUUCAGAAAAGAAUCAAGAUUUCAGAUGAUGCAUUAGAGCCGCCAUUCUCAACCUGCGGCCCGCGGGCCGCAUGCGGCCCGGCAAGCCUUUACGUGCGGCCCGGAACGCAUGGACAUCAAUUUACCGAAAACGCGGAUUUUUUCUCCCAUACGCAAAAAAAAUAUAAAUAAAAAUUCUGAUAUUAAUUUUUUUUAAUCUGGAAAAAUUAGAACUAUCCUAAUUUGAUA